Molecule: long non-coding RNA, 1201 nt
Organism: Engraulis encrasicolus (European anchovy)
Lineage: Eukaryota; Metazoa; Chordata; Actinopteri; Clupeiformes; Engraulidae
Exons: 2
Source: RefSeq, a predicted model, not a curated record
UCUGGUGACGGUGGUAUUUUGCUGCACCGGCGGCAUUCACUCUAUCUCUUGGGGGGCUAUCGCUCCGGUCACCCGGUCAUGUCUGUAUUCUAUCCUUCUCUCAUCUAUCAGAUCGAUUUUAUAGUGGUCUGUAAGCCUGUUAUCUCUAUAUUUUGUAACAUUGAACCAGCCUGGCUAGUUGCCAUGGUUGUUUAUCCAUGAUGUCAACUAUCAUACCAUAUAUUAUAGCCUACGUUCAUUCAUUCAUCCAUCCAUUCAUUUACUCAUUCAUCACCAUGUUCUACUCUCUCUCCUAGGUCACGAUUCCGGCUCUCUACCUACUGUCAUAAUCUAAGUUUUCAGCGCUCUCCUGACCAAGGUGCAUCUAUCAAUCAAAUCAUAACGCUCUGCUGUCUCUCUGCUCUCAGCGCAUCCGCGCCAUGUCUUCUCGCAUAGCCUAAGAUGGUGUAUCCUUGUAAGCGGUAGGUGAGUUCACUUCUAAUCUCUAUUUUGGGGCAGGCUACGCCCGCCUCCAUCUCCGCUGGAGGAUAUGCUGUCCUACCCCGGAGUUCAACGCGAAGACGGGAACCUUCGCCAAACAGAUUCAUGCAUUUUGUAUCAAGUGUAAUUGUUCGCCAAACGGAUUCAUGCAUUUUUGUAUCAUGUCUAUUGUUCAAUAAAUGUUAAUAACGUUCAUUUGCCUCUCGAGUCUUCAUGGUAGAAAUGGGAGCCUGCGUAAAUUCUACCAGGGAGACUCGAAUUUCUCGGCUGUCAAACCUACUAGGCUAACCAUCCAAUCUCCCUUUUGACAGAUCAUACAUGCGUCAUCAUUGCCCAGGAUCGUCAACCAAUCACAACGCGAGAUUGGGGAAUUCCCCGUUACGCAUCACUCAUGCAUCGUUCCCUCUCAGCCAAUGGAUCGCAUUCACGUUUGUUUAAAAAUCAGUCACUCAUUCUGUUCUCUGCUUUCCAGUUAAGCCGACUUUGAAGCCACCACCACCCCUCCGUCCACCGUCACCAGUGGUUCCCGUCUGUUAGGGGGCAGGCUACGCCCGCCUCCAUCUCCGCUGGAGGAUAUGCUGUCCUACCCCGGAGUUCAACGCGAAGACGGGAACCUUCGCCAAACAGAUUCAUGCAUUUUGUAUCAAGUGUAAUUGUUCGCCAAACGGAUUCAUGCAUUUUUGUAUCAUGUCUAUUGUUCAAUAAAUGUUAAUAACGUUCA